ACACUGAUUCCCACAGUAACGGCGAGUGAACAGGGAAAAGCUCAAAGUUGGAAGCUCCUGGCCCUAGGCUAGGCGCAUUGUAAACUAAAGCUGUAAAGUAGUUCGGUUGGCCUGGUAAAAAAGUUCCCUGGAAUGGGGCGACAUGGAGGGUGAAAUCCCCGUCUUUGGCCAGAGUUCAGCCGUGCGUUUGCUUUGCUGCGAAGAGUCAGGUUGUUUGGGAAUGCAGCCUAAAAUGGGAGGUAGACUUCUCCUAAAGCUAAAUAUUGACGAAAGACCGAUAGCGAACAAGUACCGUGAGGGAAAGAUGAAAAGCACUUUGAAAAGAGGGUCAAAAAGUACGUGAAAUUGCUGAAAGGGAACCGUAUGAAAUCAGCCUGAUGUGUGGGUAAUCAGCCUGGGCUUUGGCCUGGGUGCACUUGCCCAUGUAUUAGCCUGCGACAGUUUGACUUGGGGGAAAAAAGAUGGGGGAAUGUGGCCUCGGCUUCGGUCGAGGUGUUAUAGCCCCUGUCAAAAUACCUUGGGUUGGACUGAGGACUGCAGCGAGCCGUAAGGCAUGGGUCUCGGGCGCUCUGUCUUGGCGAAAAGUGAAUCUCUGCUUCGGGUGGUGCGCUUUUCUUCAGGGCAGACUCGCCUGUUUCUUCUUUCUCUCGCUUAGGUCGUAGGCAUAAUGAUUUUAUAUGACCCGUCUUGAAACACGG
RNAcentral lists this ribosomal RNA (698 nucleotides) under Absidia glauca. Its description in RNAcentral is "eukaryotic LSU rRNA". It matches the Rfam family "Eukaryotic large subunit ribosomal RNA", at positions 68 to 664 of the family's 3401-position model. The record is from RNAcentral. Lineage: Eukaryota; Fungi; Mucoromycota; Mucoromycetes; Mucorales; Cunninghamellaceae.